This 253-nucleotide ribosomal RNA is filed under the name uncultured bacterium. Its description in RNAcentral is "partial 16S ribosomal RNA". It matches the Rfam family "Bacterial small subunit ribosomal RNA", at positions 524 to 776 of the family's 1533-position model. The record is from RNAcentral.
UACGAAGGGGGCUAGCGUUGCUCGGAAUCACUGGGCGUAAAGGGUGCGUAGGCGGGUCUUUAAGUCAGGGGUGAAAUCCUGGAGCUCAACUCCAGAACUGCCUUUGAUACUGAAGAUCUUGAGUUCGGGAGAGGUGAGUGGAACUGCGAGUGUAGAGGUGAAAUUCGUAGAUAUUCGCAAGAACACCAGUGGCGAAGGCGGCUCUCUGGCCCGAUACUGACGCUGAUGCACGAAAGCGCGGGGAGCGAACAGG